This is a long non-coding RNA of Malus domestica (apple), 399 nucleotides long. RefSeq lists it as uncharacterized. NCBI's taxonomy places the organism in Eukaryota, Viridiplantae, Streptophyta, Magnoliopsida, Rosales, Rosaceae. The record is from RefSeq and is a predicted model, not a curated record.
AAAAAAUAUGAAAAAUCUCCCUUCCCUUCACAAACGUCCAACUCCCCUCUCUCCCCUCAUUUUCCCCCACCUCUCUUCCUCCUUCGUCCUCUCUCUCUCUCCCCCCCUCUUUCACGCAAGCCGUCCACCUGUCACCAACGACCGUCAAAUUAAACCUCCAGAAUCCUCUUCACGUCCUCUUUCCAACCCCCAAGUUAGUUUCUACAAAUUCGUAGCCGAAUUUCGUCAAUUUCAGAUCUAAGAAGCGGUGGCCGCGGAUUUUUCGACAAAUUUUCGGCCAAACCUGCCGGAAUCGGACCUCGACCCAAGAGAUUGGGACGAGGAAGUGAAUCAAGUUUGUUUCCAACCUGGGCCGAGAAGAAUUGGACCCGCCCACGUAUGGAUUUUUUUUGUAUGCAU